UAUGGAGCUUUAACUAACUAGUCCAAAAGAAAUAAAUUUAACCACCAAGGGAUAACAACAUCCUUUAUGGACUAGCAGUUUUGGUUGGGGUGACCUCGGAGAACAAGAGAUCCUCCGAGCGAUUUUAAAGACUAGACUUACAAGUCAAAUCAAAUUAUCGCUUAUUGAUCCAAAAAACUUGAUCAACGGAACAAGUUACCCUA
Molecule: ribosomal RNA, 203 nt
Filed under: Capra hircus (goat)
Lineage: Eukaryota; Metazoa; Chordata; Mammalia; Artiodactyla; Bovidae
Description: partial 16S ribosomal RNA
Source: RNAcentral